RNAcentral lists this ribosomal RNA (453 nucleotides) under uncultured Bacteroidota bacterium. RNAcentral's name for it is "bacterial SSU rRNA". It matches the Rfam family "Bacterial small subunit ribosomal RNA", at positions 49 to 497 of the family's 1533-position model. The record is from RNAcentral. Lineage: Bacteria; Pseudomonadati; Bacteroidota.
UAAUACAUGCAAGUCGAGGGGUAACAGGAAGUGCUUGCACUUCGCUGACGACCGGCGCACGGGUGAGUAUCGCGUAUACAAUCUGCCUCAUACUAGAGGAUAGCCCGAAGAAAUUUGGAUUAAUACUCUAUAGUAUCUAGAAAAGGCAUCUUUUUUAGAUUAAAGGUUACGGUAUGAGAUGAGUAUGCGUUCUAUUAGUUUGUAGGUGUGGUAACGGCACACCUAGACUACGAUAGAUAGGGGCCCUGAGAGGGGGACCCCCCACACUGGUACUGAGACACGGACCAGACUCCUACGGGAGGCAGCAGUAAGGAAUAUUGGUCAAUGGACGAAAGUCUGAACCAGCCAUGCCGCGUGCAGGAUGACGGCCCUAUGGGUUGUAAACUGCUUUUAUACAGGAAGAAAAACUUUCUCGUGAGAGAGCUUGACGGUACUGUAAGAAUAAGGAUCGGC